UACGUAGGGUGCAAGCGUUGUCCGGAAUUAUUGGGCGUAAAGAGCUCGUAGGCGGUUCGUUGCGUCGGCUGUGAAAUCCCGAGGCUCAACCUCGGGUCUGCAGUCGAUACGAGCAAACUAGAGUGUUGCAGGGGAGACUGGAAUUCCUGGUGUAGCGGUGAAAUGCGCAGAUAUCAGGAGGAACACCGGUGGCGAAGGCGGGUCUCUGGGCAACAACUGACGCUGGAGGAGCGAGAGCGUGGGGAGCGAACAGG
RNAcentral lists this ribosomal RNA (254 nucleotides) under uncultured bacterium. RNAcentral describes it as "partial 16S ribosomal RNA". It matches the Rfam family "Bacterial small subunit ribosomal RNA", at positions 524 to 776 of the family's 1533-position model. The record is from RNAcentral.